GUUAAGCGACUAAGCGUACACGGUGGAUGCCCUGGCAGUCAGAGGCGAUGAAGGACGUGCUAAUCUGCGAUAAGCGUCGGUAAGGUGAUAUGAACCGUUAUAACCGGCGAUUUCCGAAUGGGGAAACCCAGUGUGAUUCGUCACACUAUCAUUAACUGAAUCCAUAGGUUAAUGAGGCGAACCGGGGGAACUGAAACAUCUAAGUACCCCGAGGAAAAGAAAUCAACCGAGAUUCCCCCAGUAGCGGCGAGCGAACGGGGAGCAGCCCAGAGCCUGAAUCAGUGUGUGUGUUAGUGGAAGCGUCUGGAAAGGCGCGCGAUACAGGGUGACAGCCCCGUACACAAAAAUGCACAUGCUGUGAGCUCGAUGAGUAGGGCGGGACACGUGGUAUCCUGUCUGAAUAUGGGGGGACCAUCCUCCAAGGCUAAAUACUCCUGACUGACCGAUAGUGAACCAGUACCGUGAGGGAAAGGCGAAAAGAACCCCGGCGAGGGGAGUGAAAAAGAACCUGAAACCGUGUACGUACAAGCAGUGGGAGCACGCUUAGGCGUGUGACUGCGUACCUUUUGUAUAAUGGGUCAGCGACUUAUAUUCUGUAGCAAGGUUAACCGAAUAGGGGAGCCGAAGGGAAACCGAGUCUUAACUGGGCGUUAAGUUGCAGGGUAUAGACCCGAAACCCGGUGAUCUAGCCAUGGGCAGGUUGAAGGUUGGGUAACACUAACUGGAGGACCGAACCGACUAAUGUUGAAAAAUUAGCGGAUGACUUGUGGCUGGGGGUGAAAGGCCAAUCAAACCGGGAGAUAGCUGGUUCUCCCCGAAAGCUAUUUAGGUAGCGCCUCGUGAAUUCAUCUCCGGGGGUAGAGCACUGUUUCGGCAAGGGGGUCAUCCCGACUUACCAACCCGAUGCAAACUGCGAAUACCGGAGAAUGUUAUCACGGGAGACACACGGCGGGUGCUAACGUCCGUCGUGAAGAGGGAAACAACCCAGACCGCCAGCUAAGGUCCCAAAGUCAUGGUUAAGUGGGAAACGAUGUGGGAAGGCCCAGACAGCCAGGAUGUUGGCUUAGAAGCAGCCAUCAUUUAAAGAAAGCGUAAUAGCUCACUGGUCGAGUCGGCCUGCGCGGAAGAUGUAACGGGGCUAAACCAUGCACCGAAGCUGCGGCAGCGACACUGUGUGUUGUUGGGUAGGGGAGCGUUCUGUAAGCCUGCGAAGGUGUGCUGUGAGGCAUGCUGGAGGUAUCAGAAGUGCGAAUGCUGACAUAAGUAACGAUAAAGCGGGUGAAAAGCCCGCUCGCCGGAAGACCAAGGGUUCCUGUCCAACGUUAAUCGGGGCAGGGUGAGUCGACCCCUAAGGCGAGGCCGAAAGGCGUAGUCGAUGGGAAACAGGUUAAUAUUCCUGUACUUGGUGUUACUGCGAAGGGGGGACGGAGAAGGCUAUGUUGGCCGGGCGACGGUUGUCCCGGUUUAAGCGUGUAGGCUGGUUUUCCAGGCAAAUCCGGAAAAUCAAGGCUGAGGCGUGAUGACGAGGCACUACGGUGCUGAAGCAACAAAUGCCCUGCUUCCAGGAAAAGCCUCUAAGCAUCAGGUAACAUCAAAUCGUACCCCAAACCGACACAGG
This 1618-nucleotide ribosomal RNA is filed under the name Escherichia coli. Its description in RNAcentral is "partial 23S ribosomal RNA". It matches the Rfam family "Bacterial large subunit ribosomal RNA", at positions 1 to 1663 of the family's 2925-position model. Lineage: Bacteria; Pseudomonadati; Pseudomonadota; Gammaproteobacteria; Enterobacterales; Enterobacteriaceae. The record is from RNAcentral.